UNCCUCUCACACUAGCUGUUUCUCUGUCAGA
This 31-nucleotide non-coding RNA is filed under the name Rattus norvegicus (Norway rat). The record is from RNAcentral. Lineage: Eukaryota; Metazoa; Chordata; Mammalia; Rodentia; Muridae.